UAAGGAAUAUUGGUCAAUGGACGCAAGUCUGAACCAGCCAUGCCGCGUGGAGGAUGAAGGUCCUCUGGAUUGUAAACUUCUUUUAUCUGGGACGAAACACUUCCUUUCUAAGAGGCCUGACGGUACCAGAUGAAUAAGCACCGGCUAACUCCGUGCCAGCAGCCGCGGUAAUACGGAGGGUGCAAGCGUUAUCCGGAUUCACUGGGUUUAAAGGGUGCGUAGGUGGGUAUGUAAGUCAGUGGUGAAAUCCCCGAGCUUAACUUGGGAACUGCCAUUGAUACUAUAUAUCUUGAAUACCGUAGAGGUAAGCGGAAUAUGUCAUGUAGCGGUGAAAUGCUUAGAUAUGACAUGGAACACCAAUUGCGAAGGCAGCUUACUAUGCGGUGAUUGACACUGAGGCACGAAAGCGUGGGUAGCAAACA
This 422-nucleotide ribosomal RNA is filed under the name uncultured bacterium. Its description in RNAcentral is "bacterial SSU rRNA". It matches the Rfam family "Bacterial small subunit ribosomal RNA", at positions 355 to 774 of the family's 1533-position model. The record is from RNAcentral.